UACGGAGGAUGCAAGCGUUAUCCGGAAUGAUUGGGCGUAAAGCGUCCGCAGGUGGCUAUGUAAGUCUGCUGUUAAAGAGUGAGGCUCAACCUCAUAAGAGCAGUGGAAACUACAUAGCUAGAGUGCGUUCGGGGCAGAGGGAAUUCCUGGUGUAGCGGUGAAAUGCGUAGAUAUCGGGAGGAACACCAGUGGCGAAGGCGACUACCUGGCCUGUUCUUGACGCUGAGGCGCGAAAGCUAGGGGAGCAAACGGG
This 253-nucleotide ribosomal RNA is filed under the name uncultured bacterium. Its description in RNAcentral is "partial 16S ribosomal RNA". It matches the Rfam family "Bacterial small subunit ribosomal RNA", at positions 524 to 776 of the family's 1533-position model. The record is from RNAcentral.